RNAcentral lists this unclassified non-coding RNA (208 nucleotides) under Hevea brasiliensis (rubber tree). Lineage: Eukaryota; Viridiplantae; Streptophyta; Magnoliopsida; Malpighiales; Euphorbiaceae. The record is from RNAcentral.
AGUUUUUCUGGACAUAAUAUUAUCUAAUGUUUUAGUUGAUAGGCCUUUCCCAGGUGAGUCAAGCUCUUCAUGAACAUCUGGAUGCAAGUUGUAGAUAGGAUCCAAACGAGGUGCAUGCUCAGAAAACACAGCUGCUUGUUCUAAUUCAUACAAGAAUGAAGUUUCAAAAGGCAGAGCAUGCUCAGUCAAAUCACUUGUAGAGAACUGA